Molecule: unclassified non-coding RNA, 366 nt
Filed under: Hevea brasiliensis (rubber tree)
Lineage: Eukaryota; Viridiplantae; Streptophyta; Magnoliopsida; Malpighiales; Euphorbiaceae
Source: RNAcentral
UGAUUGGAGUCCUUCAGCUAUUCGAUCAGCCAUGAUGACCACUGCCAACCAUUUGGAUAACACUAAAAACCCCAUCAAAACCGAGGAUAAUAACAGCGAUACUACAUCAUUAGCUAUGGGAGCCGGACUUGUUGAUCCAAACCGUGCAGUUGAUCCAGGCCUGAUAUAUGAUGCCACUCCACAAGACUAUGUGAACCUUCUCUGCUCCAUGAAUUUUACAUCAGAUCAAUUCAAAACAAUUGCUAGAUCAUCAGCUAAACACAACUGUUCAAAUCCAUCUGAUGAUAUCAAUUACCCAUCAUUUAUUGCUCUCUAUGUCCCAAAUGGGGACUACGCUUGGUUGGAGCAGAAAUUCAAGAGGACAGU